GAUGAACGCUAGCGGCAGGCCUAAUACAUGCAAGUCGGACGGGAUUCAGGAGCUUGCUUCUGAUGAGAGUGGCGCACGGGUGCGUAACACGUAUGUAACCUACCUUUAUCAGGGGGAUAGCCUCUCGGAAGAGAGAUUAAGCCCGCAUAAAAUCACAGCACAGCAUUGUGUAAUGAUCAAAUAUUUAUAGGAUAAAGAUGGGCAUGCGGAACAUUAGCUAGAUGGCGGGGUAACGGCCCACCAUGGCGACGAGGUUUAGGGGAUCUGAGAGGAUGGCCCCCCACAAUGGUGCUGAGACACGGACCAGACUCCUACGGGAGGCAGCAGUAAGGUAUAUUGGUCGCUGGGCGGAAGCCUGAACCAGCCAUGCCGCGUGCAGGAAGACGGCCCUACGGGUUGUAAACUGCUUUUAUACGGGAAUAAACCCAGAUACGUGUAUCCGGCUGACUGUACUGUAAGAAUAAGGAUCGGCUAACUCCGUG
Molecule: ribosomal RNA, 482 nt
Filed under: uncultured bacterium
Lineage: Bacteria
Description: partial 16S ribosomal RNA
Rfam family: Bacterial small subunit ribosomal RNA
Source: RNAcentral